This 1254-nucleotide ribosomal RNA is filed under the name Curtobacterium oceanosedimentum. RNAcentral's name for it is "bacterial SSU rRNA". It matches the Rfam family "Bacterial small subunit ribosomal RNA", at positions 131 to 1400 of the family's 1533-position model. Lineage: Bacteria; Bacillati; Actinomycetota; Actinomycetes; Micrococcales; Microbacteriaceae. The record is from RNAcentral.
CCUGACUCUGGGAUAAGCGUUGGAGACGUCUAAUACUGGAUAUGACUGCCGGCCGCAUGGUCUGGUGGUGGAAAGAUUUUUUGGUUGGGGAUGGACUCGCGGCCUAUCAGCUUGUUGGUGAGGUAAUGGCUCACCAAGGCGACGACGGGUAGCCGGCCUGAGAGGGUGACCGGCCACACUGGGACUGAGACACGGCCCAGACUCCUACGGGAGGCAGCAGUGGGGAAUAUUGCACAAUGGGCGAAAGCCUGAUGCAGCAACGCCGCGUGAGGGAUGACGGCCUUCGGGUUGUAAACCUCUUUUAGUAGGGAAGAAGCGAAAGUGACGGUACCUGCAGAAAAAGCACCGGCUAACUACGUGCCAGCAGCCGCGGUAAUACGUAGGGUGCAAGCGUUGUCCGGAAUUAUUGGGCGUAAAGAGCUCGUAGGCGGUUUGUCGCGUCUGCUGUGAAAUCCCGAGGCUCAACCUCGGGCUUGCAGUGGGUACGGGCAGACUAGAGUGCGGUAGGGGAGAUUGGAAUUCCUGGUGUAGCGGUGGAAUGCGCAGAUAUCAGGAGGAACACCGAUGGCGAAGGCAGAUCUCUGGGCCGUAACUGACGCUGAGGAGCGAAAGCGUGGGGAGCGAACAGGAUUAGAUACCCUGGUAGUCCACGCCGUAAACGUUGGGCGCUAGAUGUAGGGACCUUUCCACGGUUUCUGUGUCGUAGCUAACGCAUUAAGCGCCCCGCCUGGGGAGUACGGCCGCAAGGCUAAAACUCAAAGGAAUUGACGGGGGCCCGCACAAGCGGCGGAGCAUGCGGAUUAAUUCGAUGCAACGCGAAGAACCUUACCAAGGCUUGACAUACACCGGAAACGGCCAGAGAUGGUCGCCCCCUUGUGGUCGGUGUACAGGUGGUGCAUGGUUGUCGUCAGCUCGUGUCGUGAGAUGUUGGGUUAAGUCCCGCAACGAGCGCAACCCUCGUUCUAUGUUGCCAGCGCGUUAUGGCGGGGACUCAUAGGAGACUGCCGGGGUCAACUCGGAGGAAGGUGGGGACGACGUCAAAUCAUCAUGCCCCUUAUGUCUUGGGCUUCACGCAUGCUACAAUGGCCGGUACAAAGGGCUGCGAUACCGUAAGGUGGAGCGAAUCCCAAAAAGCCGGUCUCAGUUCGGAUUGAGGUCUGCAACUCGACCUCAUGAAGUCGGAGUCGCUAGUAAUCGCAGAUCAGCAACGUUGCGGUGAAUACGUUCCCGGGCCUUGUACACACCGCCCGUCAA